ACCAAGACGAGUAGACGACGAGUUAUAAUUUAUAAGCCCAAUUUAUUUUAUUUUUAUUUAAAAUUUUAUGAAAACGAAGAGUUGAUUUCCGACAGAACUUAGGGUUCGACUUUUCCCCCAAUUUUCCGAUCAUCUUCUUCAAAUUGCUGGUAGCAGUGAUAUAAAAGAGAAAGAAGUAAGAGUUAGUGAAAAGGAGGAAGGAUAUAAGAUGAUUUACAGAAAGUGGAGUUUGCUGAGCAGCACGGCGGUGAUCACUACUGGCAUCGUCGGCGCCUUCGUCCUCGGAAACCUCCUCUUUGUUAAUCAGGACCCUUUCCCGAAGCAAGUACCAAAGAAACAGAACGCGUCUUCAUCACAGUAGAUCCGUUUUGUAAGUGUUGUGCUAAGAAUUUGUGGAGUUUCUUAUCAAGUUUGUCGGUUUAUCAUGCGAGUUGGGAGCACUAAUGAAUCAAAUCUCAUUUGAAAAAGUGGUGAUUAUGUUUGAAUAAGCUUUUGCUUUGAGAUUAUAGGCAUCAUUUGACAUGUCAUGCAUUACAAAUUUUAAAUGAAAAUUGUGUUGUGAAAUCAUUUUGCUCAUGUUUACCCGUGCCUUUUCAUUGUAUCUCUUGCUUGUUUGGUGGAAUUAAUAAUAAGGUUUGGUUAAUCCA
This is a long non-coding RNA of Spinacia oleracea (spinach), 647 nucleotides long. RefSeq lists it as uncharacterized. The transcript has 3 exons. Lineage: Eukaryota; Viridiplantae; Streptophyta; Magnoliopsida; Caryophyllales; Amaranthaceae. The record is from RefSeq and is a predicted model, not a curated record.